Molecule: ribosomal RNA, 111 nt
Filed under: Escherichia coli
Lineage: Bacteria; Pseudomonadati; Pseudomonadota; Gammaproteobacteria; Enterobacterales; Enterobacteriaceae
Description: partial 23S ribosomal RNA
Rfam family: Bacterial large subunit ribosomal RNA
Source: RNAcentral
UCCUUGAGAGUCCUGAAGGAACGUUGAAGACGACGACGUUGAUAGGCCGGAUGUGUAAGCGCAGCGAUGCGUUGAGCUAACCGGUACUAAUGAACCGUGAGGCUUAACCUU